Syzygium oleosum is the source of this 2747-nucleotide long non-coding RNA. RefSeq lists it as uncharacterized. The record is from RefSeq and is a predicted model, not a curated record. The transcript is spliced from 2 exons. NCBI's taxonomy places the organism in Eukaryota, Viridiplantae, Streptophyta, Magnoliopsida, Myrtales, Myrtaceae.
UUUUUUUGAGAGCCCAAAUGCCCAAAAGGGGCUCAGGACCUUUUCCAUUCAUUGCAUGGGCCUGUAUACCCUAAUACCAUCUACUUCCGCGAGCGUCCCUCGCCUCGUUAUCAGUGCUCUUGUCUCAAGCUGAGCAACUGUCUUUGACAGAAGUCAUUGAAACCCUGCAUUCCCAUGAGCUCCUUGGUGGGUAGUUUUUUGAGCAUAAGGAAAGAGAAAAAGAGAGAGAGGGGAAGAAAUGGUUGUCGAUUUCGCAACAUAGUACCUGGUUGCUCCCACUAGGCGUCAAUUUGGGUACUGUGAUGUUUGAUGAGAGCUCACUAAGUAUCUUCGAGAUGGAGUGGAUAAGAUGAGGGAUGUGAAGCGGAAGAGUAGGGCCUUUCGUCGGUGAGGCCAAGCGUUUUGUGGAAUCUACAGGCUUUGAUGUUAAGAAAUGGUUGGGUAGUCUGGGGGCGCACCACCAUGGAUGCAGAAAACCCGCUGAAAUUCGAGGCAAGUGGUAAGGAUGUUUGCUCCCGCCGGGGGUUUCCGAACCCCAUGGCCUGAUUUUUGAAGGGUAGGGAUUGGAGGAAGAUGAUUUGGGUCUUCAUGGGGCUUUAAGUGGAAAGCUGUAAGAGUUACUUCCAGAAGUUUUAUCUCAAGUGCAGUCCAUCUGGAAUGGUCAUCGGCAUGGCUUUUGCCGCGAGAUCAGAUGCCUUGGAGGCAAGUACUGCAACCAACAGUGUCAUUGUGAUGGGAGUGUAUCGACAGCUAUUGGAUGAUGUGGAAAGGCUAGUUAAGGAAGAGAAGUUGUUCGAUGUUGUUGUUGAGGCAACUUUACCACAUCACAGAUUUGCCGUGCUUAAAGUAAUUCAUGGAGAAUUCACUUAUGCAUUGAGCUUGAAGCAGAUUAAUGAGGAAACUGCACUUGGAAUUGUGGAUCUUCUUCGGAAGAAGUUAGAAGUUGAUCCAAUGAGGAAAAUCCUCAUCGUGUAUUGACAACUUGUAAAGGAAGAGAAGCCGUUUGACGUGUAAGAAGGUUUAUAGUAUACCCUUUCACCAAAUAGACCAUGGAUCCUUUAGCCAUGUUGCCUAUCAAGUUUUUCAAUUCAAACGGUUUUCAAAUAUCAUUUUGGCCGAAACUUUGUUUCACUCACUCGAUUUAAUCAUCGCUAGAGUGUUGAUUGAUAAUGGUUCUGCAUUAAAUAUAUCCCCAUUGGCCACCCUUCACUGUUUGGGAGUUGAUUUGGAGAAAAUACGAACAGCCCGAAGAAGCCGUUCGAUUUUCAAUGUGAAUUUUGAGGAAAUUUAUCACAUCACGAACGCGCGGAACUUAUAGAUAUUCAUGGAGAAUUCUUUUGUGCAUUGGAUUUGAAGUUGAUUAAUGAGGAAAUUGCACUUGGAAUUGUGAUUCUUCUUUGGAAGAGGUUAGAAGAUGAUUCGAAGAGGAAAAUCGUCAUUAUUUAGAUGACAUAGGGAAGAUCCUAUAAAUAAAGGGCGACGACACUAGUUAUUUCCGACAUUUAGAGGUUGAUAAAUUGCUUGUCUACUGGGCUUGAAGUUGAUUAAUGAGGAAAAUGUACUUGGAUUUAUGGAUUUUCUACAUAAGAGGUUAGAGAGUGAUCCUAAGAAGAAAAUUCUCGUCACUUUAGAUAAUUUGUGCAUGAAGGUACCGCUAAAGGAUGUAAAGUACCUUGCGGAGAUGACAACAAACCAAUAGGUUGCAAGUUAUUGCAAUAUGGAGAAACCGAGAUGUUUUGUGCAUUGAUGUGGGCUCUUGGACCAAGAGUUCAUGCUCAAUGAGUUGAAGCUUGAAGAAGCACGAUUAAUUUUUGAAAAGUCGGUUGGGGAUAUAGGCAAUGAUCACGAGUUGAAACACUUGGCAGAUAGAUUGCUCAAGAAUUGUGCAAGCAUGCCCCUUUUGAUUCUUUCGGCAGCAAAAACGUCGAAGCAUGGGAAUUUGCUUGCUCGGAGGACUGAUUUGACCAAAAUUGAAGUGGUAGAUGUAAACUCGAUAGUAGUACUGAACUAGAAGGAUUUGGAACAUGGGAAUGUCAAAAUAUUGUUCUGAAGCAUUGGCCUUCUUGGUGGAACAUCCCCAAUCAAGACCCUAUUAUCCAUUGCAUGGUUUUGGACCAUUUAAAGAUUUGAAUAAUACCAAUAGCAUCGAGGGCACUAGAUAUAAGCCGACUGAAGAUCUAAAUACCUUGCCGACCUCUUCUUUGUUGCCUGGAUAACGAUGACAGGGGAAUGAUCAGGAUGCAGGAUCUAUUUGUGAUGUGGCCUGGUUGAUUGCAUAUAGGGAAUGUAGCACCUUGGUGAGGAGGAACGAUAUGGGUUUAAAGAGUUGACAAAGGACGAGCUCAAGGAAAUGCACUGGUAUACUUUCCUCUUUUGUGCAGAAGUUCCUUAUGUCUGGCUUUGUCAGGUUUCCUUGUCUUGUUUGGCGUCUUUGGCAUUGUCUGAACUUCCCAAACCGAAAGAGAUACGGAAACUAUCAAUUUCCAUCGGAUUUCAGCAAACCCAGUCUGCAACAUGCAUUUGCCGACACGAUCUUUGGGUUAGCCAUUGCCUUCUCUUCAUUCUUCAAUCAACAGGCACGCAAGGCAGGGUAUUCCUAGUAAAUAAUGUAUAGCUCAGAUAGUGUCGUGCUUACAUUUUCUUUCUUUCUAUUUUGAGCAAUUUUUCAGUUUGAUCAGAGACCUUGGAGAGCAUUUGAACUCUCCCUUGCUGAAUUUUAUCAUCGGAUACUGUUGUUUUGUACUCAA